Molecule: ribosomal RNA, 1268 nt
Filed under: Shigella sonnei
Lineage: Bacteria; Pseudomonadati; Pseudomonadota; Gammaproteobacteria; Enterobacterales; Enterobacteriaceae
Description: bacterial LSU rRNA
Rfam family: Bacterial large subunit ribosomal RNA
Source: RNAcentral
ACCAAGGCGCUUGAGAGAACUCGGGUGAAGGAACUAGGCAAAAUGGUGCCGUAACUUCGGGAGAAGGCACGCUGAUAUGUAGGUGAAGUCCCUCGCGGAUGGAGCUGAAAUCAGUCGAAGAUACCAGCUGGCUGCAACUGUUUAUUAAAAACACAGCACUGUGCAAACACGAAAGUGGACGUAUACGGUGUGACGCCUGCCCGGUGCCGGAAGGUUAAUUGAUGGGGUCAGCGCAAGCGAAGCUCUUGAUCGAAGCCCCGGUAAACGGCGGCCGUAACUAUAACGGUCCUAAGGUAGCGAAAUUCCUUGUCGGGUAAGUUCCGACCUGCACGAAUGGCGUAAUGAUGGCCAGGCUGUCUCCACCCGAGACUCAGUGAAAUUGAACUCGCUGUGAAGAUGCAGUGUACCCGCGGCAAGACGGAAAGACCCCGUGAACCUUUACUAUAGCUUGACACUGAACAUUGAGCCUUGAUGUGUAGGAUAGGUGGGAGGCUUUGAAGUGUGGACGCCAGUCUGCAUGGAGUCGACCUUGAAAUACCACCCUUUAAUGUUUGAUGUUCUAACGUGGACCCGUGAUCCGGGUUGCGGACAGUGUCUGGUGGGUAGUUUGACUGGGGCGGUCUCCUCCUAAAGAGUAACGGAGGAGCACGAAGGUUGGCUAAUCCUGGUCGGACAUCAGGAGGUUAGUGCAAUGGCAUAAGCCAGCUUGACUGCGAGCGUGACGGCGCGAGCAGGUGCGAAAGCAGGUCAUAGUGAUCCGGUGGUUCUGAAUGGAAGGGCCAUCGCUCAACGGAUAAAAGGUACUCCGGGGAUAACAGGCUGAUACCGCCCAAGAGUUCAUAUCGACGGCGGUGUUUGGCACCUCGAUGUCGGCUCAUCACAUCCUGGGGCUGAAGUAGGUCCCAAGGGUAUGGCUGUUCGCCAUUUAAAGUGGUACGCGAGCUGGGUUUAGAACGUCGUGAGACAGUUCGGUCCCUAUCUGCCGUGGGCGAUGGAGAACUGAGGGGGGCUGCUCCUAGUACGAGAGGACCGGAGUGGACGCAUCACUGGUGUUCGGGUUGUCAUGCCAAUGGCACUGCCCGGUAGCUAAAUGCGGAAGAGAUAAGUGCUGAAAGCAUCUAAGCACGAAACUUGCCCCGAGAUGAGUUCUCCCUGACCCUUUAAGGGUCCUGAAGGAACGUUGAAGACGACGACGUUGAUAGGCCGGGUGUGUAAGCGCAGCGAUGCGUUGAGCUAACCGGUACUAAUGAACCGUGAGGCUUAACCUU